RNAcentral lists this small RNA (68 nucleotides) under Flavobacterium saliperosum. RNAcentral's name for it is "Flavo-1 RNA". It matches the Rfam family "Flavo-1 RNA". Lineage: Bacteria; Pseudomonadati; Bacteroidota; Flavobacteriia; Flavobacteriales; Flavobacteriaceae. The record is from RNAcentral.
CCAUAGCCCUGAUGGGAGUGGCAUCCUCGCCGCAUCGCGGAGAGAUAUAACGGACAGCAGGAAAAAGG